Molecule: ribosomal RNA, 732 nt
Filed under: Lactococcus lactis
Lineage: Bacteria; Bacillati; Bacillota; Bacilli; Lactobacillales; Streptococcaceae
Description: bacterial SSU rRNA
Rfam family: Bacterial small subunit ribosomal RNA
Source: RNAcentral
GGGGGACAACAUUUGGAAACGAAUGCUAAUACCGCAUAAAAACUUUAAACACAAGUUUUAAGUUUGAAAGAUGCAAUUGCAUCACUCAAAGAUGAUCCCGCGUUGUAUUAGCUAGUUGGUGAGGUAAAGGCUCACCAAGGCGAUGAUGCAUAGCCGACCUGAGAGGGUGAUCGGCCACAUUGGGACUGAGACACGGCCCAAACUCCUACGGGAGGCAGCAGUAGGGAAUCUUCGGCAAUGGACGAAAGUCUGACCGAGCAACGCCGCGUGAGUGAAGAAGGUUUUCGGAUCGUAAAACUCUGUUGGUAGAGAAGAACGUUGGUGAGAGUGGAAAGCUCAUCAAGUGACGGUAACUACCCAGAAAGGGACGGCUAACUACGUGCCAGCAGCCGUGGUAAUACGUAGGUCCCGAGCGUUGUCCGGAUUUAUUGGGCGUAAAGCGAGCGCAGGUGGUUUAUUAAGUCUGGUGUAAAAGGCAGUGGCUCAACCAUUGUAUGCAUUGGAAACUGGUAGACUUGAGUGCAGGAGAGGAGAGUGGAAUUCCAUGUGUAGCGGUGAAAUGCGUAGAUAUAUGGAGGAACACCGGUGGCGAAAGCGGCUCUCUGGCCUGUAACUGACACUGAGGCUCGAAAGCGUGGGGAGCAAACAGGAUUAGAUACCCUGGUAGUCCACGCCGUAAACGAUGAGUGCUAGAUGUAGGGAGCUAUAAGUUCUCUGUAUCGCAGCUACGCA